GACGAACGCUGGCGGCGUGCCUAAUACAUGCAAGUUGAGCGCUGAAGGUUGGUACUUGUACCGACUGGAUGAGCAGCGAACGGGUGAGUAACGCGUGGGGAAUCUGCCUUUGAGCGGGGGACAACAUUUGGAAACGAAUGCUAAUACCGCAUAAAAACUUUAAACACAAGUUUUAAGUUUGAAAGAUGCAAUUGCAUCACUCAGAGAUGAUCCCGCGUUGUAUUAGCUAGUUGGUGAGGUAAAGGCUCACCAAGGCGAUGAUACAUAGCCGACCUGAGAGGGUGAUCGGCCACAUUGGGACUGAGACACGGCCCAAACUCCUACGGGAGGCAGCAGUAGGGAAUCUUCGGCAAUGGACGAAAGUCUGACCGAGCAACGCCGCGUGAGUGAAGAAGGUUUUCGGAUCGUAAAACUCUGUUGGUAGAGAAGAACGUUGGUGAGAGUGGAAAGCUCAUCAAGUGACGGUAACUACCCAGAAAGGGACGGCUAACUACG
This 495-nucleotide ribosomal RNA is filed under the name uncultured bacterium. RNAcentral describes it as "partial 16S ribosomal RNA". It matches the Rfam family "Bacterial small subunit ribosomal RNA", at positions 28 to 505 of the family's 1533-position model. The record is from RNAcentral.